AGAGUUUGAUCAUGGCUCAGAACGUACGCUGGCGGCACGCCUAACACAUGCAAGUCGAACGAAGUAGCAAUACUUAGUGGCGAACGGGUGAGUAUAAUGUGGGUAUCUGCCUUUUGGUUUGGAAUAACACGGGGAAACUUGUGCUAAUACCGGAUAAGCCUUCACAGGGAAAGUUUUAACGCCGAAAGAUGAGCCCGCACUUGAUUAGCUAGUUGGUAAGGUAAUGGCUUACCAAGGCUACGAUCAAUAGCUGAUCUGAGAGGAUGAUCAGCCACAUUGGGACUGAGACACGGCCCAAACUCCUACGGGAGGCAGCAGUGGGGAAUCUUGCACAAUGGGGGAAACCCUGAUGCAGCGAUGCCGCGUGAGUGAAGAAGGCCUUUGGGUUGUAAAGCUCUUUCGUCGGGGAAGAAAAUGACUGUACCCGAAUAAGAAGGUCCGGCUAACUUCGUGCCAGCAGCCGCGGUAAUACGAAGGGACCUAGCGUAGUUCGGAAUUACUGGGCUUAAAGAGUUCGUAGGUGGUUAGAAAAGUUGGUGGUGAAAUCCCAAGGCUUAACCUUGGAACUGCCAUCAAAACUUUUUAACUAGAGUAUGAUAGAGGAAAGUGGAAUUUCUAGUGUAGAGGUGAAAUUCGUAGAUAUUAGAAAGAACACCAAUUGCGAAGGCAACUUUCUGGAUCAUUACUGACACUGAGGAGCGAAAGCAUGGGUAGCGAAGAGGAUUAGAUACCCUCGUAGUCCAUGCUGUAAACGAUGUGUGCUAGACGU
Molecule: ribosomal RNA, 769 nt
Filed under: marine metagenome
Description: bacterial SSU rRNA
Rfam family: Bacterial small subunit ribosomal RNA
Source: RNAcentral